AGAAUGAACGCUGGCGGCGUGCUUAACACAUGCAAGUCGCACGAGAACUCUUCUGCUUGCAGAAGAUAGUAAAGUGGCGCACGGGUGAGUAACGCGUGGGUAAUCUACCUCUGAAUUGGGGAUAACAUUGUGAAAGCGAUGCUAAUACCGAAUAAUAUCCCGAGAACCUAGGCUUUUGGGAUCAAAGGUGGCCUCUACAUGUAAGCUACUGUUUAGAGAUGAGCCCGCGUACCAUUAGCUUGUUGGUAGGGUAAUGGCCUACCAAGGCAACGAUGGUUAGCUGGUCUGAGAGGAUGAUCAGCCACACUGGAACUGACACACGGUCCAGACUCCUACGGGAGGCAGCAGUGAGGAAUUUUGCGCAAUGGGGGAAACCCUGACGCAGCAACGCCGCGUGAGUGAUGAAGGCUUUCGAGUCGUAAAGCUCUGUCAAGUGAGAAGAACCUACUUUUUGUUAAUACCAUUAAGUACUGACGGUAUCACUGAAGGAAGCACCGGCUAACUCCGUGCCAGCAGCCGCGGUAAUACGGAGGGUGCAAGCGUUAUUCGGAAUUAUUGGGCGUAAAGGGCGCGUAGGCGGUCUUUUAAGUCAGAUGUGAAAGCCCGGGGCUCAACCCCGGAAGUGCAUUUGAAACUAAGGGACUUGAGUAUGGGAGAGGGAAGUGGAAUUCCUGGUGUAGAGGUGAAAUUCGUAGAUAUCAGGAGGAACACCGGUGGCGAAGGCGACUUCCUGGACCAAUACUGACGCUGAGGCGCGAAGGCGUGGGGAGCAAACAGGAUUAGAUACCCUGGUAGUCCACGCAGUAAACGGUGAACACUA
RNAcentral lists this ribosomal RNA (820 nucleotides) under uncultured bacterium. Its description in RNAcentral is "bacterial SSU rRNA". It matches the Rfam family "Bacterial small subunit ribosomal RNA", at positions 26 to 818 of the family's 1533-position model. The record is from RNAcentral.